GGGGUUCUAGUAUAGCGGUAAGAUAUUCUCUUAGGGAGCGAAAGGUCCCGAGUUGAAUUCUCGGAAUCCCCA
Triticum aestivum (bread wheat) is the source of this 72-nucleotide non-coding RNA. NCBI's taxonomy places the organism in Eukaryota, Viridiplantae, Streptophyta, Magnoliopsida, Poales, Poaceae. The record is from Rfam.